GGAGCUUGCUCCUCUGAUCAGUGGCGAACGGGUGAGUAACACGUGAGCAACCUGCCCCAGACUCUGGGAUAACAGUUGGAAACAGCUGCUAAUACCGGAUACGAGACGGAGAGGCAUCUCUACCGCCUGGAAAGUUUUUCGGUCUGGGAUGGACUCGCGGCCUAUCAGCUAGUUGGUGAGGUAAUGGCUCACCAAGGCGACGACGGGUAGCCGGCCUGAGAGGGCGACCGGCCACACUGGGACUGAGACACGGCCCAGACUCCUACGGGAAGCAGCAGUGGGGAAUAUUGCACAAUGGGCGAAAGCCUGAUGCAGCGACGCCGCGUGAGGGAUGACGGCCUUCGGGUUGUAAACCUCUUUCAGCAGGGAAGAAGCGAAAGUGACGGUACCUGCAGAAGAAGCACCGGCUAACUACGUGCCAGCAGCCGCGGUAAUACGUAGGGUGCGAGCGUUGUCCGGAAUUAUUGGGCGUAAAGAGCUUGUAGGCGGUUUGUCGCGUCUGCAGUGAAAAUCCGAGGCUCAACCUCGGACUUGCUGUGGGUACGGGCAGACUAGAGUAUGGUAGGGGAGACCGGAAUUCCUGGUGUAGCGGUGGAAUGCGCAGAUAUCAGGAGGAACACCGAUGGCGAAGGCAGGUCUCUGGGCCAUAACUGACGCUGAGAAGCGAAAGCAUGGGGAGCGAACAGGAUUAGAUACCCUGGUAGUCCAUGCCGUAAACGUUGGGCGCUAGGUGUGGGGCUCAUUCCACGAGCUCCGUGCCGCAGCUAACGCAUUAAGCGCCCCGCCUGGGGAGUACGGCCGCAAAGCUAAAACUCAAAGGAAUUGACGGGGGCCCGCACAAGCGGCGGAGCAUGCGGAUUAAUUCGAUGCAACGCGAAG
This 879-nucleotide ribosomal RNA is filed under the name uncultured bacterium. Its description in RNAcentral is "bacterial SSU rRNA". It matches the Rfam family "Bacterial small subunit ribosomal RNA", at positions 75 to 966 of the family's 1533-position model. The record is from RNAcentral.